RNAcentral lists this ribosomal RNA (386 nucleotides) under marine Metazoa environmental sample. RNAcentral's name for it is "SSU rRNA". It matches the Rfam family "Eukaryotic small subunit ribosomal RNA", at positions 587 to 972 of the family's 1831-position model. The record is from RNAcentral. Lineage: Eukaryota; Metazoa.
AGCUCCAAUAGCGUAUAUUAAAGUUGCUGCAGUUAAAAAGCUCGUAGUUGGAUCUCGGGGUACCUGGUCUAGCCGGUAUAGCUCACGCUAAAACUGGUCUGACCCCCCAACGUGAGGUAUUCUUCUCCGGGUUCACUUCCUUUGGUGCUCGUGAGGGGCCUCGUAGUUACUGUGAAAAAAUUAGAGUGUUCAAAGCAGGCUCAUAUGUUCGGAUAGUCGUGCAUGGAAUAACUGAAUACGUGACGGGCGCUUUUAAGUUGGUCUCGGAGACUGGUAAAAUGAUUAAGAGGGACUGCCGGGGGCAUUGGUAUGGAGGGGUUAGAGGUGAAAUUCUUGGAUCCUCGCAAGACCAACAAAAGCGAAAGUAUUUGCCAAGAAUGGCUUCA